RNAcentral lists this ribosomal RNA (706 nucleotides) under uncultured Actinomycetales bacterium. RNAcentral describes it as "bacterial SSU rRNA". It matches the Rfam family "Bacterial small subunit ribosomal RNA", at positions 61 to 780 of the family's 1533-position model. Lineage: Bacteria; Bacillati; Actinomycetota; Actinomycetes; Actinomycetales. The record is from RNAcentral.
GUCGAACGGAAAGGCCCUGCUUGCAGGGUACUCGAGUGGCGAACGGGUGAGUAACACGUGGGUGAUCUGCCCUGCACUUCGGGAUAAGCUUGGGAAACUGGGUCUAAUACCGGAUAGGAACCAUCUUUAGUGUGGUGGUUGGAAAGUUUUUUCGGUGUAGGAUGAGCUCGCGGCCUAUCAGCUUGUUGGUGGGGUAAUGGCCUACCAAGGCGGCGACGGGUAGCCGGCCUGAGAGGGUGUACGGCCACAUUGGGACUGAGAUACGGCCCAGACUCCUACGGGAGGCAGCAGUGGGGAAUAUUGCACAAUGGGCGCAAGCCUGAUGCAGCGACGCCGCGUGGGGGAUGAAGGCCUUCGGGUUGUAAACUCCUUUCGCUAGGGACGAAGCUUUUUGUGACGGUACCUAGAUAAGAAGCACCGGCUAACUACGUGCCAGCAGCCGCGGUAAUACGUAGGGUGCGAGCGUUGUCCGGAAUUACUGGGCGUAAAGGGCUCGUAGGUGGUUCGUCGCGUCGUCUGUGAAAUUCUGGGGCUUAACUCCGGGCGUGCAGGCGAUACGGGCAUAACUUGAGUGCUGUAGGGGUAACUGGAAUUCCUGGUGUAGCGGUGAAAUGCGCAGAUAUCAGGAGGAACACCGAUGGCGAAGGCAGGUUACUGGGCAGUUACUGACGCUGAGGAGCGAAAGCAUGGGUAGCGAACAGGAUUA